CCUUGGUCCAACAAAAAGCGUGUUAAAAGGUUUCUUCUUUGAGCACUAAUUAUAUGUCGGACUAUUCUCAAUUAUUGAUGCUAAGAGCUGGUCCCACACUUCGGUAUAAAUAUCAUCACGUUCUAUUAGAGAGAGCAAAAAACUAACACACUUGUGUAGAAUGGGGGUGGUGCAUAUAUUCUCGAAGCCACUAACAUGCACAGAUGUAGCAUCGAGGUUAACAAUCCCAAGUGAAAGCUUAGAGCACUUUCCUAAGAUUUCUGAGGAGCAUCACUCAAUAAAUUUUACUGUCCUAGACUUGGAAGGGCAUCCAUGGCGUUUUUAUCUCUUUACCUGGAGAAGAGGUGCACACCCAAAACCUGUUCUUAAUGGAAGAGAUUGGCUUGCCUUUGUAAAGGCCAAAUGUCUAAAAGAAGGGGAUAUAAUAACUUUCUCAAAAGAAGCAGAUGAGACCAAUGGAGUGAUAUUUAGAAUCCAAGCAUGCAAAACAAAUAUGACGUUCCGUUGCCAAUAUUAUUAGGUUGAAUAAAAUUACGGCUAUAAUUUUUAAAUAAAA
Long non-coding RNA from Mangifera indica (mango), 556 nucleotides. RefSeq lists it as uncharacterized. The transcript has 2 exons. The record is from RefSeq and is a predicted model, not a curated record. Lineage: Eukaryota; Viridiplantae; Streptophyta; Magnoliopsida; Sapindales; Anacardiaceae.